UACGGGGGGGGCAAGCGUUGUUCGGAAUUACUGGGCGUAAAGCGAGUGUAGGCGGUUUGAUAAGUCGGAUGUGAAAGCCCUGGGCUCAACCCAGGAAGUGCACUCGAUACUGUCAAGCUAGAGUAUCGGAGAGGUUGGUGGAAUUCUCGGUGUAGAGGUGAAAUUCGUAGAUAUCGAGAGGAACACCGGUGGCGAAGGCGGCCAACUGGACGAAUACUGACGCUGAGACUCGAAAGCGUGGGGAGCAAACAGG
This 253-nucleotide ribosomal RNA is filed under the name uncultured bacterium. RNAcentral describes it as "partial 16S ribosomal RNA". It matches the Rfam family "Bacterial small subunit ribosomal RNA", at positions 524 to 776 of the family's 1533-position model. The record is from RNAcentral.